UACGAAGGGAGCUAGCGUUGUUCGGAAUCACUGGGCGUAAAGCGCACGUAGGCGGACUUGUCAGUCAGGGGUGAAAUCCCGGGGCUCAACCUCGGAACUGCCUCUGAUACAGCAAGUCUUGAGUCCGGAAGAGGUGGGUGGAAUUCCUAGUGUAGAGGUGAAAUUCGUAGAUAUUAGGAAGAACACCGGUGGCGAAGGCGGCCCACUGGAUCGGUACUGACGCUGAGGUGCGAAAGCGUGGGGAGCAAACAGG
This 253-nucleotide ribosomal RNA is filed under the name uncultured bacterium. RNAcentral's name for it is "partial 16S ribosomal RNA". It matches the Rfam family "Bacterial small subunit ribosomal RNA", at positions 524 to 776 of the family's 1533-position model. The record is from RNAcentral.